GUACCCUGGUAGUCCACGCUGUAAACGAUGUCGACUUGGAGGUUGUUCCCUUGAGGAGUGGCUUCCGGAGCUAACGCGUUAAGUCGACCGCCUGGGGAGUACGGCCGCAAGGUUAAAACUCAAAUGAAUUGACGGGGGCCCGCACAAGCGGUGGAGCAUGUGGUUUAAUUCGAUGCAACGCGAAGAACCUUACCUACUCUUGACAUCCAGAGAACUUAGCAGAGAUGCUUUGGUGCCUUCGGGAACUCUGAGACAGGUGCUGCAUGGCUGUCGUCAGCUCGUGUUGUGAAAUGUUGGGUUAAGUCCCGCAACGAGCGCAACCCUUAUCCUUUGUUGCCAGCGAUUCGGUCGGGAACUCAAAGGAGACUGCCAGUGAUAAACUGGAGGAAGGUGGGGAUGACGUCAAGUCAUCAUGGCCCUUACGAGUAGGGCUACACACGUGCUACAAUGGCAUAUACAAAGAGAAGCGACCUCGCGAGAGCAAGCGGACCUCAUAAAGUAUGUCGUAGUCCGGAUUGGAGUCUGCAACUCGACUCCAUGAAGUCGGAAUCGCUAGUAAUCGUAGAUCAGAAUGCUACGGUGAAUACGUUCCCGGGCCUUGUACACACCGCCCGUCACACCAUGGGAGUGGGUUGCAAAAGAAGUAGGUAGCUUAAC
Molecule: ribosomal RNA, 657 nt
Filed under: bacterium YG-34
Lineage: Bacteria
Description: bacterial SSU rRNA
Rfam family: Bacterial small subunit ribosomal RNA
Source: RNAcentral